This 183-nucleotide ribosomal RNA is filed under the name uncultured bacterium. RNAcentral's name for it is "partial 16S ribosomal RNA". It matches the Rfam family "Bacterial small subunit ribosomal RNA", at positions 1318 to 1500 of the family's 1533-position model. The record is from RNAcentral.
GCAUGAAGUCGGAAUUGCUAGUAAUCGCAGAUCAGCAUGCUGCGGUGAAUACGUUCCCGGGCCUUGUACACACCGCCCGUCACACCAUGGGAGUCGGUAACACCCGAAGUCGGUAGCCUAACCGCAAGGGGGGCGCUGCCGAAGGUGGGGUUGAUGAUUGGGGUGAAGUCGUAACAAGGUACC